UCCUUGGUGGCUCAUAGGUUAAAGCGUCUGCCUACAAUGCAGGAGACCCAGGUUCGAUCCCUGGGUCGGGAA
This 72-nucleotide transfer RNA is filed under the name Ovis aries (sheep). It matches the Rfam family "tRNA". Rfam says of the family: Transfer RNA (tRNA) molecules are approximately 80 nucleotides in length. Their secondary structure includes four short double-helical elements and three loops (D, anti-codon, and T loops). The record is from Rfam by way of RNAcentral. Lineage: Eukaryota; Metazoa; Chordata; Mammalia; Artiodactyla; Bovidae.